This is a long non-coding RNA of Helianthus annuus (common sunflower), 517 nucleotides long. RefSeq lists it as uncharacterized. The record is from RefSeq and is a predicted model, not a curated record. The transcript is spliced from 6 exons. Lineage: Eukaryota; Viridiplantae; Streptophyta; Magnoliopsida; Asterales; Asteraceae.
CUCCCCUCAUUCAUUGAUGUACUGGAUCCAUCACCGUCUCCAAGCGAUUCAACAAACAGAUUCUUGGCGAUUUAAUCAUCCCCAAGGUCAGAAUUCGCAUCAUAUAUAAUGUUAUAACCCGACUCUUUUCUUUCAUAUACCUCACAUUCUCCCAAACGGCGAUUACGGUUUUCAUCCUUCACAAUCUAGGGUUUCUCCAUGUGCGAUACCUCCUCUUCUUUGCUACGAUCCAGGAUCAAACCCUAGAUUUCCUGCUCCUCCAUCGACGCCCCAUCUCGAUUCACACUGGGAUCCUCAGAUGUCUUCAAAUCAAGCCAGGGUUUCUUGAUCUUCGGUCGCUUUUCUUUUCUAACAGUUAAAUGCGGUCGACACCAAGAUUCAUGUUAAGCGAUUCCAUAUACAUUGAAAGAGAAACAAUCUAUUUUGGUUUAAGGUACUGGAAGCCGUGCAUAAGGAGAAGUAAAGGGGAUUACUGGUUGUGGUUUACAAUCGUGCUGGUGGUGGUUGGGGUGAAGCU